Molecule: small RNA, 117 nt
Filed under: Marmota monax (woodchuck)
Lineage: Eukaryota; Metazoa; Chordata; Mammalia; Rodentia; Sciuridae
Source: RNAcentral
GCCAGGUAUGGUGGUGCAUAGCUAUAGUCCCAGCUACUGGGGAGGCCGAGGAGAGAGGAUCACUUGAGCCCAGGAGUUCAAGGCAGCCUGGACAACAUAGUGAGAACCUCACCUCAA